GGCUCGUCCGCCCUGGGUUAGUCGGGACCUAAGGCGCGGCCGAAAGGCGUAGCCGAUGGACAACAGGUUGAUAUUCCUGUACUAGUAUUGUUAGUGAUGGCGGGACGCAGUAGGCUAAAGGGAGCCAGUUAAUGGAUUCUGGUCUAAGCAGUGAGGGGUGGAAUGUGUCAAAUGCAUUUUCCUUUAACAUUGAGCUGUGAUGGGGAAGCAACUACGGUUGCGCAGCCCUUGAUGUCACACUGCCAAGAAAAUCUUCUAGCGUUUAAUUCAAUACUACCCGUACCGCAAACCGACACAGGUA
This 301-nucleotide ribosomal RNA is filed under the name Lactococcus garvieae. RNAcentral's name for it is "partial 23S ribosomal RNA". It matches the Rfam family "Bacterial large subunit ribosomal RNA", at positions 1363 to 1665 of the family's 2925-position model. Lineage: Bacteria; Bacillati; Bacillota; Bacilli; Lactobacillales; Streptococcaceae. The record is from RNAcentral.